ACUAACUGGAGGACCGAACCGACUAAUGUUGAAAAAUUAGCGGAUGACUUGUGGCUGGGGGUGAAAGGCCAAUCAAACCGGGAGAUAGCUGGUUCUCCCCGAAAGCUAUUUAGGUAGCGCCUCGUGAAUUCAUCUCCGGGGGUAGAGCACUGUUUCGGCAAGGGGGUCAUCCCGACUUACCAACCCGAUGCAAACUGCGAAUACCGGAGAAUGUUAUCACGGGAGACACACGGCGGGUGCUAACGUCCGUCGUGAAGAGGGAAACAACCCAGACCGCCAGCUAAGGUCCCAAAGUCAUGGUUAAGUGGGAAACGAUGUGGGAAGGCCCAGACAGCCAGGAUGUUGGCUUAGAAGCAGCCAUCAUUUAAAGAAAGCGUAAUAGCUCACUGGUCGAGUCGGCCUGCGCGGAAGAUGUAACGGGGCUAAACCAUGCACC
RNAcentral lists this ribosomal RNA (436 nucleotides) under Escherichia coli. RNAcentral describes it as "partial 23S ribosomal RNA". It matches the Rfam family "Bacterial large subunit ribosomal RNA", at positions 761 to 1195 of the family's 2925-position model. The record is from RNAcentral. Lineage: Bacteria; Pseudomonadati; Pseudomonadota; Gammaproteobacteria; Enterobacterales; Enterobacteriaceae.